UAUCUGACUAAAAGUCACCGUUAUCCUUUGAAGUCUCAAUGUAAAAUCAACGAGCUUUGGUUAUAGCAAAAAAGUGUAAACGGACUCAUAAAAGGUAAAAAUGUAGCACAAUAGUCACUGCUCUUGCUUGUCAUCGUUUCACACCAGUUCCUACUGUACCAGCUUAAGUGCUACUGUACUAUCCUAUAACAAUGACACAAUACUUUAUAAUAACUACACAGUUUUAAUCAUCAUCCCUUUUUAAAAUCAGACUUGUUUCUCUCCACUCUCAUAAAUUAUUUAAUUAUUCACUGCUCACUAAGAGUAAAUCAGCCUUUUAUGUUGAGGACAGCUGCAGCUGACUCUGUGUGUUUGCAUAUGUGUCCUGCCUCUCUGCUCACAGCUGUUAAGAGGCCAGUGUUGAUCAGUGGCUGUCCAGGCCUUUCAGAGCCACUCACACACCAGCAGCACAAUGAUGAUGUCACUGACUCUACUGCUGGCCACCCUGGGGCUCCUUGUUCAGGGUUCAUGGGGACAAAAAGUCCUGACUCAGUCUCCUGGAUCCCAGUCUGUUGUUCCAGGACAGACUGUCUCUGUCAGAUGUAAAGCCAGUUCAAGUGUCAGCACAUGCCUCCACUGGUACCUUCAAAAGGACGGAGAAUCUCCCAAACUCUUAAUUUAUUCUGCUACAAACCGUCAGUCUGGAGUUUCUGAUCGUUUCAGUGGAAGUGGAUCUGGGACUGACUACACUCUGACUAUCAGCAGAGUUCAGGCUGAAGAUGCAGGAGUUUAUUACUGUCAGCAGUGUAACAGCUUCCCGUUCACACAGUGAUACAACGUCAUACAAAAAC
Molecule: non-coding RNA, 830 nt
Organism: Oreochromis niloticus (Nile tilapia)
Lineage: Eukaryota; Metazoa; Chordata; Actinopteri; Cichliformes; Cichlidae
Source: the annotation of a RefSeq genome assembly